GUGAGGAAUUUUGCGCAAUGGCCGCAAGGCUGACGCAGCAACGCCGCGUGAAGGAAGAAGGCUUUCGGGUUGUAAACUUCUUUUACCAGGGACGAAACAAAUGACGGUACCUGGUGAAUAAGCCACGGCUAACUACGUGCCAGCAGCCGCGGUAAUACGUAGGUGGCGAGCGUUAUCCGGAUUUAUUGGGUGUAAAGGGCGUGUAGGCGGGACAGCAAGUCAGAUGUGAAAACCAGAGGCUCAACCUCUGGCCUGCAUUUGAAACUGUUGUUCUUGAGUGUCGGAGAGGUAAUCGGAAUUCCGUGUGUAGCGGUGAAAUGCGUAGAUAUACGGAGGAACACCAGUGGCGAAGGCGGAUUACUGGACGAUAACUGACGCUGAGGCGCGAAAGCGUGGGGAGCAAACAGGAUUAGAAACCCUGGUAGUCC
RNAcentral lists this ribosomal RNA (428 nucleotides) under uncultured bacterium. Its description in RNAcentral is "partial 16S ribosomal RNA". It matches the Rfam family "Bacterial small subunit ribosomal RNA", at positions 354 to 796 of the family's 1533-position model. The record is from RNAcentral.